GAGGGUAUAGCUCAGUGGUAGAGUUUGUGCUCAGUAUGCACAAGGUCCUGGCUUCAAUCCCCAGUACCUCCA
Transfer RNA from Camelus ferus (Wild Bactrian camel), 72 nucleotides. It matches the Rfam family "tRNA". From Rfam's summary of the family: Transfer RNA (tRNA) molecules are approximately 80 nucleotides in length. Their secondary structure includes four short double-helical elements and three loops (D, anti-codon, and T loops). The record is from Rfam. Lineage: Eukaryota; Metazoa; Chordata; Mammalia; Artiodactyla; Camelidae.